GCCUCAUCGUCCAAUUUACUCA
RNAcentral lists this non-coding RNA (22 nucleotides) under Drosophila melanogaster (fruit fly). Lineage: Eukaryota; Metazoa; Arthropoda; Insecta; Diptera; Drosophilidae. The record is from RNAcentral.